GAUGAACGCUGGCGGCGUGCCUAAUACAUGCAAGUCGAGCGAACGGACGAGAAGCUUGCUUCUCUGAUGUUAGUGGCGGACGGGUGAGUAACACGUGGAUAACCUACCUAUAAGACUGGGAUAACUUCGGGAAACCGGAGCUAAUACCGGAUAAUAUUUUGAACCGCAUGGUUCAAAAGUGAAAGACGGUCUUGCUGUCACUUAUAGAUGGAUCCGCGCUGCAUUAGCUAGUUGGUAAGGUAACGGCUUACCAAGGCAACGAUGCAUAGCCGACCUGAGAGGGUGAUCGGCCACACUGGAACUGAGACACGGUCCAGACUCCUACGGGAGGCAGCAGUAGGGAAUCUUCCGCAAUGGGCGAAAGCCUGACGGAGCAACGCCGCGUGAGUGAUGAAGGUCUUCGGAUCGUAAAACUCUGUUAUUAGGGAAGAACAUAUGUGUAAGUAACUGUGCACAUCUUGACGGUACCUAAUCAGAAAGCCACGGCUAACUACGUGCCAGCAGCCGCGGUAAUACGUAGGUGGCAAGCGUUAUCCGGAAUUUAUGGGCGUAAAGCGCGCGUAGCGGUUUUUUAGUCUGAUGUGAAAGCCCACGGCUCAACCGUGGAGGGUCAUUGGAAACUGGAAAACUUGAGUGCAGAAGAGGAAAGUGGAAUUCCAUGUGUAGCGGUGAAAUGCGCAGAGAUAUGGAGGAACACCAGUGGCGAAGGCGACUUUCUGGUCUGUAACUGACGCUGAUGUGCGAAAGCGUGGGGAUCAAACAGGAUUAGAUACCCUGGUAGUCCACGCCGUAAACGAUGAGUGCUAAGUGUUAGGGGGUUUCCGCCCCUUAGUGCUGCAGCUAACGCAUUAAGCACUCCGCCUGGGGAGUACGACCGCAAGGUUGAAACUCAAAGGAAUUGACGGGGACCCGCACAAGCGGUGGAGCAUGUGGUUUAAUUCGAAGCAACGCGAAGAACCUUACCAAAUCUUGACAUCCUUUGACAACUCUAGAGAUAGAGCCUUCCCCUUCGGGGGACAAAGUGACAGGUGGUGCAUGGUUGUCGUCAGCUCGUGUCGUGAGAUGUUGGGUUAAGUCCCGCAACGAGCGCAACCCUUAAGCUUAGUUGCCCUCAUUAAGUUGGGCACUCUAAGUUGACUGCCGGUGACAAACCGGAGGAAGGUGGGGAUGACGUCAAAUCAUCAUGCCCCUUAUGAUUUGGGCUACACACGUGCUACAAUGGACAAUACAAAGGGCAGCGAAACCGCGAGGUCAAGCAAAUCCCAUAAAGUUGUUCUCAGUUCGGAUUGUAGUCUGCAACUCGACUACAUGAAGCUGGAAUCGCUAGUAAUCGUAGAUCAGCAUGCUACGGUGAAUACGUUCCCGGGUCU
RNAcentral lists this ribosomal RNA (1370 nucleotides) under uncultured bacterium. RNAcentral describes it as "bacterial SSU rRNA". It matches the Rfam family "Bacterial small subunit ribosomal RNA", at positions 28 to 1381 of the family's 1533-position model. The record is from RNAcentral.